CCUUCAAUAGCUCAGCUCGUAGAGCAGAGGACUGUAGAUCCUUAGGUCGCUGGUUCAACUCUGGCUUGAAGGA
Molecule: transfer RNA, 73 nt
Filed under: Procavia capensis (Cape rock hyrax)
Lineage: Eukaryota; Metazoa; Chordata; Mammalia; Hyracoidea; Procaviidae
Description: tRNA-Tyr (GTA) (tRNA-Tyr-GTA-9-1)
Rfam family: tRNA
About the family: Transfer RNA (tRNA) molecules are approximately 80 nucleotides in length. Their secondary structure includes four short double-helical elements and three loops (D, anti-codon, and T loops).
Source: RNAcentral